Molecule: long non-coding RNA, 4588 nt
Filed under: Homo sapiens (human)
Lineage: Eukaryota; Metazoa; Chordata; Mammalia; Primates; Hominidae
Description: HSALNT0018882
Source: RNAcentral
ACAGGAUCUCGCUGUGUUGCCCGGGCUGGUCUCAAACUUCUGGACACAAACAAUCCUCCACAUUGGCCUCCCAAAAUGCUGGAAUUACAGGUGUGAGCCACUGGACCAGCAGGACUCUAAAUUUUGGUGCUCAAAAAACAUUUGUUGAGUAAGUGAACCUGAGACUAUCAACAAGCAUUAUUUUAAAAUCACUAGCAAAGGAGAUUGUAAAAUCAGGAAGUAUAUCUAAGUCACCUCCAGUAGCCGUAACUCUACCUUGUCCAGUAAAAGGAUAAUUCUGGCAGCUAUUGAAAACAGACUGAAGAGAAGAAAGAAGAUUUGGAGGAAUAUGUAUCCAAGAUUGAUGAUGGUGGCUCAGAUCAGUGCUGCUUGUUGCUGACGUUUCUGCCCAAACAUCAUGAAAUGUGGAGAAGAAAGAACACUCAGAUGUGCCCUGGAGACUUUCCUUUUAUUUUUAAACAGUUUUUUUUUCCAUUGGGUUUGACCAACUCUAUAUUCGACUUGAACAAAUCCGAAGGAAAGCUUCCAAUUAUGGGGAACAAGUCCUCUGAAGUGGCUAAAUUCCCACACACACAAAAGAAAAGAUGAGUCUAUGCCCAGGACCACCAGAUAAUUGAGUCCUGUACAAAAGCUUCUGACUAAACAAUGUGCUCUGGCUCAGGACUAUACAGAGAAAAGACACAGUUUUUAAAUUGAUCGUUCAAAAGGAAACAUAUUUAUGAUAUUUGCUCCAUGAUAUGUAUCUCUCAUCUGUUAGCUCAGGCAGAAUUAAAAUGCUAGACAAUAAUGUUCCAUGCCACUAUGCUUACUCGGGUCUCUCACAUUGGUGUACUUCUGGCACAAAGUCACAUGACAUUUGAGUAAUAGCUGUCUCCCAUGUGGACUUUACACCACAUGAUGUCAGGGGCCAUUCAUUCUAUUCCAAUUACAUAAAUCAUAGAUUAGGAUAGGUCUUGGCAAGGACUGGGUACUAUAUGAAUAUUUUUGAGUAAAUGUAUGAGCACAAAAUAUUUUAUGUGGUUAUGUAUCUAGUAAAACAUGCAAGGCUAACAUAUCCUCUUUCAUUAGACUUCAAGAAAACUCCAGCGAAUAUUUAUCAGAAAAAGAAAACCAGGAAAAAUGAAAGAAGUAAUAAAAUUAAAAUCUCGUACAGACCAAAAAUAAAUGAUACAGAGCAUUUAGGUAGUCAGAAGCUGUGCUAACUGGUUUCCAAACAAGGUAAAGAACAGCCUGCUAGGAACACACUGUAUCUCAAAGGGCAAAACAAUAACGUCAAACCUUUCUCCUCUGCAUUGCAAAUACCAUUUGCAUUUCAAUGACACUACACUCUAAAGAAUAUGCUCUACUAAGUUUGUUAGAUAAGCCGCAUGUGCUGUGUUUCAAAUCACAUAGUAAUAAAAGUGUUCCAGUUCUUUGAUAGAUUUACGUAAUUCCCUAACUGGACUACCAUUGAUUCCCCUUAAGAAAGGUAUAUAGACUCUCUAUGAAAAAUAGAGUUUCUUAAAUCCAGCUUCCUAUGUGGAAAGUAUUAUUACUUUAUAGGAAAAUAAUUUCUAGCUGUUUUCCUGUUGUUCCCAAGAGUCUUUCCAAUUUCUUUAUAUAUCUGUCUUAGAAUGUUCAAUUUUCUCAAGCCCCUUAAAAAAUCAUUCUUGCUUUUCUACUCAUUUCCACUUGUUAAACUUGACCCAGUUUUCUCUUGGUUUCAUAUUUUACCAUUCAACUUUUAUUCCACUCUCUACCCUCUCCAACUCCCCUAAAUAAAUUGUUUUUUCAGGUCAUAAUACCCCUAUUUGUUUUUCCUACACAACGGGUAAGCUCAGAUGGAACAUUAUCGAAUGGUGAAAAGCAUAAGUUUGUCUUAGGACACAAAGUUUCUAACAAAGAUUGAUUCUUCUCAUAUGAAAUAACUGCUUCUUUAUACUUUUCAUGGCAUUUUAGAAUACAGGGUAGGAUUGCAGUCCCUGAAAUGUACCAAUUCUGAAUUAAACUAAUUAAUUAAUUAAUUUUCUUAGCACCCCACAGAGAUUGUGCCAUCACUUUUUUGUAUCAUGCUGCCCCUGAUUUUCCUCCUAGUGGGCCCGAAACAUCCAUCUUUCCACGAGUGUGGUCAGGAGAUUAGGACUGUUAUAAAUGAAGUGCAAAGAGAUUUACUAUUCCAAGCAGAAUUUUGCAGUCAGUAAGAUGUUAAAGAUUAUCUAAAGAAUAUCAAGUCAAAUCCAGAAGUCUCAGCUGAAGGUGUUUCUUCUUUAACAUACAGAUUUUAUACUGCCCAUCAAUGAGGGUAGGCCUUGGGACAGAUUUAUUCUAAGAAAUGAGGAUAGAGUAGAGAAAGAAAAAGUCUGAAGCUCUUCUUAUGGGGCUGCAGAGCUGGGAGACUUUCAGAAAUAUGAGAAAGGAAAUAAGAGAGGCAGAUGACACAUGAGUUUUCAUGUUUUCUCUCCAAACAGAUAGGCAGUCUGGAAAAGCUAAGGAUGUGGGCUUUUGACUAGAAUAAUGUUUGGGACUCUGAAAGGGGUUUGCCUUGGAUGACUGCCCUGCACAGCUUCAAGAUGGCCACAUCGGGGGAAACACAGUGGCACAGUGUGGUGACAGAGGGCUGAUGUUCAGUAUCUGAGUCAUUCUUCAUGUGUGGCAUGAAUAGAGCUAUUUGUUCUAAGGAGGGACUUUGGAGGUGGCUAAAUGGAGUUGGAUAGUCUGCCAUGUGGCCAGUUUUGUUGGUGAUUCUGCAGAUGAACUACCUGCACCAGGAGUCUGAGGGAGGAUGUUACAGGAAUGCAGAGAGGUCUACAGUACAAGUAGGAGUUAAAAUGAGGUCAACUCUCAGCCUGGCAUGGUGACUUGGGCCUGUAAUCCCAGAAUUUUGGGAGUCUGAGGUGGGAGGAUUGCUUGAGCUCAGGAGUUUGAGACCAGCCUGGGCAACAUAGCCAAACCAUCUCUACAAAAAAUAAAAAAAUUAUGUGAGUGUGGUGGUGAGCACCUGUAGAUCCAGCUACUUGGGAGGCUGAAGUGGGAGGAGUGCUUGAGCCUGGGAGGCCAAGGCUGCAGUGAGCCAUGAUUGCAUCACUGCAGUCCAGCCUGAGUGACAGAGCAAAACCCUGUCUCAAAAAAAAAAAAAAAAAAUGAGGUCAACUCAGCCACUGAUUACUGCUAGAUGCUGACCAAGUUAGAGAGGACAACCCAGUGGAUUAAACCUUUCUCCAAAUUAAGCCACAUUGCUAGCAUGUCAGUGAUGAUCAAGAGGUCAAAGUAGUGAGUGAGGGCUAAAGAAGUGAGAGCACACUUAAUAUCAGAAAUAUUUCAGUCCAUGGGCAAAAGGAUAUUCUUACCAUGGGUAAGAGGAGGAAGUUUGCAGAAAUCUGAAACACUGAAACAAUUCUCUUAAAGACACUGGGAAAGGCUUCAGUGUCCAAACUGUUUUAAACCAAAUGAGUCUGUUUUUAAUUUUUUCUCCAACUGGAGAAAAUUGAAAAUUGUUUUGGUUGGGGCCAAGGGUGAAGGAGUCUUGAAGAACAUUGGAUCAGAUAUACCAAAUGACCAAUUUGAUAGAUUGAUUGAUUGACUAAUUUUUUUUUAAACUUUUAAGUUACUAUGGGAGUAAAUUCAUUACUUUGCUACAAAUGUUGUGGGAAAGUGGACAAGUCAAUGCACUACUGUGAAUACUUAUUCACUAAUUCACGUUUCCAUUUGGAAAAAUAAAGGAGUUGGGCUGCAUAAUUCUUAAGGUCUUCUUUAGUUGAGAGAACCUAUAUGUAUUUAUAGUCUGUCCUUCUUAUGUAGAGAACACGAAUGUCUAAUUAUUUACAUUUAUUUUUAUGAUAGAAUUAAAACGAUGUAUUAAGCUGGCCUUUUUUCAGACAUACUUGCAACCAGAGUCAUCAAUUUUGAAGACAGCAACCAAGCCAAGCAAUGUGAGGUUACAGCUAUGAAAUAGAACAGAGAUGUCUAGACUAUAGACACAGCCUGCCGUUUUGUGCUGAUUGGUAAAGUGUUCCAGCCAACUGGAAGCAAAUAUUUCUCAGAAGCAGUUUCCUGCUCUCAUCCUCUCCUCGCCAUGCCCACUGUGCCCAACAUGGCUCCAGCUGGGUCACAGAAGACUUUGUCCUGGAAUACAGCAUUUCCCUAUUUAAAUCUCUAACUUUGUAUGUACUCUUUUCAAUAAAAGCAUAUUUUUCAUUACCAUUCUGACCAUACUCCCUUCUCUGCUGGCUCCACAGCUAAGGUUUCUGCACCUGUUCCAUAACUUCUGGGAUCUGUCUCUGUUGCUGCACGUAUGCAUUCCAUAAGCAUUAAUAGAUCCAUUCACUCUUCUGAAAUCUGGGCAGCUUAAAUCAUAUUACAUCUAACGUAUUUUUACUAGAGUCAGUUCUACCCCCCGACUCUUGAGUGCACACACAGGCACUUCUCUGUAAGUUCCUUGAGGUCAGAAAUAGUCCCCUAGUCAGCCUUCUGCCUUCUGUAGUUCCUGGUCCAUCAAGGUGCAGAGUACAUAUUCCACAGAUAAAUAGAUAACUCUCAUUCAAUGCUCUGAUCUUUCCUUUAUCUUGUUUCCCUGGAUAUUCCUCUUUCACGGCUCUUUUCUAUUUAAUUU